RNAcentral lists this ribosomal RNA (242 nucleotides) under uncultured bacterium. Its description in RNAcentral is "partial 16S ribosomal RNA". It matches the Rfam family "Bacterial small subunit ribosomal RNA", at positions 92 to 334 of the family's 1533-position model. The record is from RNAcentral.
UGACCGGCGAACGGGUGCGUAACACGUGAGCGACCUUCCGUCUUCUGGGGGAUAGCCGGCCCAACGGCCGGGUAAUACCGCAUACGCUCAUCGGGGGGCAUCCCUUGAUGAGGAAACUUCCGGGGGAGGACGAGGGGCUCGCGGCCUAUCAGCUAGUUGGGGGGGUAACGGCCUCCCAAGGCGACGACGGGUAGCUGGUCUGAGAGGAUGGCCAGCCACAUUGGGACUGAGAGACGGCCCAG